UACGGAGGGUGCGAACGUUAAUCGGAAUUACUGGGCGUAAAGCGCGCGUAGGCGGCUUGUUAAGUCAGAUGUGAAAGCCCCGGGCUCAACCUGGGAAUUGCAUUUGAAACUGGCAAGCUAGAGUGCAGUAGAGGGAGGUGGAAUUCCAGGUGUAGCGGUGAAAUGCGUUGAUAUCUGGAGGAACACCAGUGGCGAAGGCGGCCUCCUGGACUGACACUGACGCUGAGGUGCGAAAGCGUGGGGAGCAAACAGG
RNAcentral lists this ribosomal RNA (253 nucleotides) under uncultured bacterium. Its description in RNAcentral is "partial 16S ribosomal RNA". It matches the Rfam family "Bacterial small subunit ribosomal RNA", at positions 524 to 776 of the family's 1533-position model. The record is from RNAcentral.